GGGAGGAUACUCAAGUGGUCAACGAGGGCAGACUGUAAAUCUGCUGGCGAAGCCUUCGGGGGUUCGAAUCCUCCUCCUCCCACCA
RNAcentral lists this transfer RNA (85 nucleotides) under Candidatus Poribacteria bacterium. RNAcentral's name for it is "tRNA-Tyr". It matches the Rfam family "tRNA". From Rfam's summary of the family: Transfer RNA (tRNA) molecules are approximately 80 nucleotides in length. Their secondary structure includes four short double-helical elements and three loops (D, anti-codon, and T loops). Lineage: Bacteria; Candidatus Poribacteria. The record is from RNAcentral.